GACGAACGCUGGCGGCGUGCCUAAUACAUGCAAGUUGAGCGCUGAAGGUUGGUACUUGUACCAACUGGAUGAGCAGCGAACGGGUGAGUAACGCGUGGGGAAUCUGCCUUUGAGCGGGGGACAACAUUUGGAAACGAAUGCUAAUACCGCAUAAAAACUUUAAACACAAGUUUUAAGUUUGAAAGAUGCAAUUGCAUCACUCAAAGAUGAUCCCGCGUUGUAUUAGCUAGUUGGUGAGGUAAAGGCUCACAAGGCGAUGAUACAUAGCCGACCUGAGAGGGUGAUCGGCCACAUUGGGACUGAGACACGGCCCAAACUCCUACGGGAGGCAGCAGUAGGGAAUCUUCGGCAAUGGACGAAAGUCUGACCGAGCAACGCCGCGUGAGUGAAGAAGGUUUUCGGAUCGUAAAACUCUGUUGGUAGAGAAGAACGUUGGUGAGAGUGGAAAGCUCAUCAAGUGACGGUAACUACCCAGAAAGGGACGGCUAACUACGUG
This 496-nucleotide ribosomal RNA is filed under the name uncultured bacterium. Its description in RNAcentral is "partial 16S ribosomal RNA". It matches the Rfam family "Bacterial small subunit ribosomal RNA", at positions 28 to 507 of the family's 1533-position model. The record is from RNAcentral.